Molecule: long non-coding RNA, 2943 nt
Organism: Zea mays
Lineage: Eukaryota; Viridiplantae; Streptophyta; Magnoliopsida; Poales; Poaceae
Exons: 2
Source: RefSeq, a predicted model, not a curated record
GUUAAGCUUUCCUUGUUGCAUGACAUGGCACGGGAUUCUUGUCAAAACUCUUACAUCACUUAGUCACAUGUCUGUAUCUUUCUUGUGGACUUUGUUCCUUGAAAUUAUGUUACUCUAAAAUACAGGGACAUAUCUCUGUGUUAUGAGCUGAAGCAUUGCCCCUUCAGUGUCUUCAGUUUUUUACCAACCGUAUGGUUGCAUAACUGCAAUUCUUUAAUUGCGCUCUUGGUUUAAGUUUGCUUCCCAGUCCUAUUUGGGCUUCGAAGUUCCAAAACUGUAUGAACCUUCGUAUAACUGAGCCAAUGCUGAAAGCCGAAAGGUUUUGUUGGACUCGACUGCUAUCCUCUAGUGUGGGUGCCACAUAGGUCCAAAAGCUUUAUUCUGUUAUCCAUUGCUUUUAAUUGAGGGAUUUCCUGAAAACAAAAAGAUGAAUCCAAUAUUACUAUAUUUUUGAGAAACAAAAAAGAGAGUACCGGAAUUGGUCUUUCAUGUUUUUCUAGGGCUUGUUUGGGAGUAAAGAUACCUGAGAGGAUAGUAAGGAGAAAACUCCCAAACAAGCUUGUUUUUUUUUUUGUACUCUCAGUUCCCUCCCUCUGCAGAAUCUGUUUUUACUGUUUCCCAGAGGCAAGUUAUGAAUAGGGCUGUUUUUACUGUUUUUUUGUACUCUCAUCCAACACCAGUAGACCUCCACGUUUGGUUGCGGGACAUAUCAGCUCAGCUGUGGAUUGGACUAGGGUGACAAUGAGCUCUAAAUUUUACGCUAUAAAUUUAAGGAUAGGAUUAAGAUCAGACUUUAUUUUUAUUUUUUUGAACUAGAAACAAUUUAGGGUCCUAAUAAAUUAUGAAGAAGCAUUUGGAUCGUGAUUCAUUACCACCUCUAGAUAGGACAGACUCUGAUUAUACGAUAGACUCUCACUAUAGGGAUGGAAUGUUCUGAAAUGGUCUCUAGUCGUGUUUGGUGACGAUCAUUGUUUUUGUUUGGUUUGGAGAUAGGUAGGGAUAGAUUGACCCCAUCCUCCGUUUGGUUGGAGGGAUGGAGGGGGACGUGAGGAAUAGAUGCUUAUGUGUGGGAUGUGAGGAGACUCAGUCUUUCUGGGUAUGGCUUUGCCCCCACAAUUUUGAGAGAUAGCUAGACAAUAUCAAUUGAGAAUAUUUCAACGAGGAUGGUCCUGCCUGUCCUGACUCUGACACAAAACAACCCAAUCUAAGGGAUCGUUUUAUCUUAUCCUGUCUUGUCAUUACAACUAAACACACUCUUACAUUUUAUUUAGUAGCCAUGGCUACGUCUUUUGAGAACAAGGUUUGUCCCCUACAAUGAAUGGGAAGAGGAUGAGAUACUUAUGUCAACCACUUGUGUGCCACACGACCAAACUGAAAGAACAAUGUGGUGCUUUUAGCUCAUCUUUUGAAUGAAAAUUUUCCUUUGUUAUCUUAGUUUUUGUAGACAUGUCUUUCACAUAGAAUACUUGAGUUAUAUCAUUUGCCAAAAUGAAUGGUUUAUCUUUAUAUCUAAUAUUAUUGAGAUCAAUGUUUGUCAUACCAUACUCUAGAUCAUCCAUUAUGUUGCCUGCAUUUAUCUUAAUUAACUAGCACUGAAAUAGAGAGAUCUUUAAGUAAGGUCUAUAGUCAAGUUCCUAGAUCUCCUCGUCGUAACAAGAAUAUGUCUUCUUAGUAUCAUCAUUGGUAAUGGCAUAUAUACAGGCGUCACUAUUUUGGUUGUUCUUAUUGUCUCUGUGCAAUUGUGUAGAAUGUAUACCUAUUUAUCUUGUAUUCUUCUAAUGUAAAGAUCGAGGGAAGACAUACCCCUAAUCAACCAUGUCGUUGAUCAUCAAUGAGUUUGCAGGUUCAUAGAACUACUAUGCCUCUGAAAAUACUCUGAAAGCACAAGAACGUUGAAGUAUUAUGAAAAUUCAUUUGCUAGUCGAAUAAUCAUCAAAACCAUGCAACUGUUCUUAUUAUUAAACCGAAUCCUCUAAUUAUAGCAUCUGAAAAGACAUGAAUUAAUAGACCUAUCUAUUUAUCGGUGCCUAUUUAUAUAUUUUGACCCAAUCUACACGACAUAUCAAAGAAACAACACCCAUAGCGCUAGAUAAACAUUCAAUUGAUUGAUUCCACCAUGCAAUCGAACUAAUCAAUCAAUCCUUAAAGCAACGGUCAACGGACCAGUGUGUCCCCGUUGCCGAGUGAGGGCAGUGGAGGCAACGAUAUGACGCGAGUUGCUUCUUCGUGCAGCCGUCAAGUAGGCAAGUAGCUUCAAGUCGUUCGUCGUGGAGGGCCCGCCUGGGGGAGCAGUGGGUGUGCCUUCGCACCAGGCGGGGGAGGGGAGCCGAGGAGGUGAAGGUCGAGGCCCCCACCAUGUUGGACGUCGUCGCCGAGCCUGUCCCGGACGACGCACCCUUCUUCUACCGCGUCGAGUCGCUCGAGCGUGGCUGCGUGGGUCCGGCUUCCACCUCAUUCUCCUUGGACGGGCGCUCAACCACGAGGACUGUCGACUUCUUGCACGACUGCGACGUCUUCUUCUCUAUCACGGGCGCGCGGGGUCGGCAUCGAUGGGAUCGACAGCGGGCGGAGACACUGGUUUGGCGGCGUCGGCAGACCGGCAUCUCCGGUACCCGACACCACCUCGCUGGUUUGGUUCGGCAGGUAGGUCCUCGCCUAGUUGGGUAGCUCGGUGAGCGGGUUGGUUGGCAAUACCACCUCACCGGGUUGCUCGUCAAGCGGGUUGGUCGGUCGUCUCGCCCCGUCAGGUUGUUCGGUGGGCGGGUUGGUCGGCAGAUCUGCCCUGCCGGAUUGCUUGAAGUAUAGGUCAGUCGGUUAGUGGAUCAUCUUUGAGAGGUCUUUUAGGUCUUCUUUGAACAGUCGGUUCUCAGGUACCCGACAUAAAGGUUGUAUGCUACAACUUAUUUUAGUAAAACAAUUCUUGCCAUCCACGCUUAAACCAAA